UACGUAGGCAGCGAGCGUUGUUCGGAGUUACUGGGCGUAAAGAGUGCGUAGGCGGUUUUCUAAGUUUGGUGUGAAAUCUCCCGGCUUAACUGGGAGGGUGCGCCGAAUACUGGAAGGCUUGAGUAUGGGAGAGGUAAGCGGAAUUCCUGGUGUAGCGGUGAAAUGCGUAGAUAUCUGGAGGAAUACCGGUGGCGAAGGCGGCAUCCUGGACCGACAUUGACGCUGAUGAGCGAAAGCUAGGGGAGCAAACGGG
RNAcentral lists this ribosomal RNA (253 nucleotides) under uncultured bacterium. RNAcentral describes it as "partial 16S ribosomal RNA". It matches the Rfam family "Bacterial small subunit ribosomal RNA", at positions 524 to 776 of the family's 1533-position model. The record is from RNAcentral.